GUAACAGGUGGUGCAUGGUUGUCGUCAGCUCGUGUCGUGAGAUGUUGGGUUAAGUCCCGCAACGAGCGCAACCCUCGUUCUAUGUUGCCAGCACGUAAUGGUGGGAACUCAUGGGAUACUGCCGGGGUCAACUCGGAGGAAGGUGGGGAUGACGUCAAAUCAUCAUGCCCCUUAUGUCUUGGGCUUCACGCAUGCUACAAUGGCCGGUACAAAGGGCUGCAAUACCGUAAGGUGGAGCGAAUCCCAAAAAGCCGGUCCCAGUUCGGAUUGAGGUCUGCAACUCGACCUCAUGAAGUCGGAGUCGCUAGUAAUCGCAGAUCAGCAACGCUGCGGUGAAUACGUUCCCGGGUCUU
RNAcentral lists this ribosomal RNA (353 nucleotides) under uncultured Microbacterium sp. RNAcentral's name for it is "bacterial SSU rRNA". It matches the Rfam family "Bacterial small subunit ribosomal RNA", at positions 1031 to 1382 of the family's 1533-position model. Lineage: Bacteria; Bacillati; Actinomycetota; Actinomycetes; Micrococcales; Microbacteriaceae. The record is from RNAcentral.